Molecule: ribosomal RNA, 255 nt
Filed under: uncultured bacterium
Lineage: Bacteria
Description: partial 16S ribosomal RNA
Rfam family: Bacterial small subunit ribosomal RNA
Source: RNAcentral
UACGUAGGGUGCGAGCGUUGCCCGGAAUUAUUGGGCGUAAAGGGCUCGUAGGCGGUCUGUCGCGUCAGGAGUGAAAACUCGGGGCUUAACCCCGAGCCUGCUUCUGAUACGGGCAGACUAGAGGUAUGCAGGGGGAGAACGGAAUUCCUGGUGUAGCGGUGAAAUGCGCAGAUAUCAGGAGGAACACCGAUGGCGAAGGCAGGUCUCUGGGCCACUACUGACGCUGAGAAGCGAAAGCAUGGGGGAGCGAACAGG